Molecule: non-coding RNA, 29 nt
Filed under: Bombyx mori (domestic silkworm)
Lineage: Eukaryota; Metazoa; Arthropoda; Insecta; Lepidoptera; Bombycidae
Source: RNAcentral
UUUCAAACGGGUGUGUGGCUGGUCCCAAA